AGCGCGCUGGACUUCUAAUCCAGAGGUCGCGGGUUCGAAUCCCGC
This 45-nucleotide transfer RNA is filed under the name Lottia gigantea (owl limpet). It matches the Rfam family "tRNA", at positions 20 to 63 of the family's 71-position model. From Rfam's summary of the family: Transfer RNA (tRNA) molecules are approximately 80 nucleotides in length. Their secondary structure includes four short double-helical elements and three loops (D, anti-codon, and T loops). The record is from Rfam by way of RNAcentral. Lineage: Eukaryota; Metazoa; Mollusca; Gastropoda; Lottiidae.